GCUCAGAUUGAACGCUGGCGGCAUGCCUUACACAUGCAAGUCGAACGGUAACGCGGGGCAACCUGGCGACGAGUGGCGAACGGGUGAGUAAUGUAUCGGAACGUGCCCAGUUGUGGGGGAUAACUGCUCGAAAGAGCAGCUAAUACCGCAUACGACCUGAGGGUGAAAGCGGGGGAUCGCAAGACCUCGCGCAAUUGGAGCGGCCGAUAUCAGAUUAGGUAGUUGGUGGGGUAAAGGCCUACCAAGCCUACGAUCUGUAGCUGGUCUGAGAGGACGACCAGCCACACUGGGACUGAGACACGGCCCAGACUCCUACGGGAGGCAGCAGUGGGGAAUUUUGGACAAUGGGCGCAAGCCUGAUCCAGCCAUGCCGCGUGCGGGAAGAAGGCCUUCGGGUUGUAAACCGCUUUUGUCAGGGAAGAAAAGGUUCUGGCUAAUACCUGGGACUGAUGACGGUACCUGAAGAAUAAGCACCGGCUAACUACGUGCCAGCAGCCGCGGUAAUACGUAGGGUGCGAGCGUUAAUCGGAAUUACUGGGCGUAAAGCGUGCGCAGGCGGUUAUGCAAGACAGAGGUGAAAUCCCCGGGCUCAACCUGGGAACUGCCUUUGUGACUGCAUGGCUAGAGUGCGGCAGAGGGGGAUGGAAUUCCGCGUGUAGCAGUGAAAUGCGUAGAUAUGCGGAGGAACACCGAUGGCGAAGGCAAUCCCCUGGGCCUGCACUGACGCUCAUGCACGAAA
Molecule: ribosomal RNA, 739 nt
Filed under: Roseateles sp.
Lineage: Bacteria; Pseudomonadati; Pseudomonadota; Betaproteobacteria; Burkholderiales; Sphaerotilaceae
Description: bacterial SSU rRNA
Rfam family: Bacterial small subunit ribosomal RNA
Source: RNAcentral